Molecule: transfer RNA, 89 nt
Filed under: Fusarium equiseti
Lineage: Eukaryota; Fungi; Ascomycota; Sordariomycetes; Hypocreales; Nectriaceae
Also listed under: 1 other name
Description: tRNA-Gln
Rfam family: tRNA
About the family: Transfer RNA (tRNA) molecules are approximately 80 nucleotides in length. Their secondary structure includes four short double-helical elements and three loops (D, anti-codon, and T loops).
Source: RNAcentral
GGUCCUAUAGUCUAGUGGUUAGGACGUUGGAUUUUGAUGACCCAUCAAAACAUCUUCCGAAGUCCCCGGUUCGAACCCGGGUAGGACCU